UUUAAGGUCUAACCUGCCCAAUGAGGAUUUAAAUGGCCGCAGUAUUUUGACUGUGCAAAGGUAGCAUAAUUAUUAGUUUUUUAAUUGAAAGCUUGUAUGAAGGGUUGGACGAGAUGAAAUCUGUCUUUAUUUAAAUUAAAGUAUAAUUUAACUUUUAAGUAAGAAGGCUUAAAUGUUUAUAAAAGACGAGAAGACCCUAUAGAUCUUUAUUUAAUUGAAAUUUUAAUAAUUUAGGAUUAUUUUAAUUUAAAGUUUUAAUUGAAUUUUAUUGGGGUAAUAUAAAGAUUAAAUAAAUUCUUUUUAUUUAUAACAUUAAUUUAUGAAUAUAUGAUCCAUUAAUAUUGAUUAUAAGAUUAAGUUACCUUAGGGAUAACAGCGUAAUUUUUUUGGAGAGCUCAUAUCGAUAAAAAAGUUUGCGACCUCGAUGUUGGAUUAAAAAUUAGCUUGGGUGCAGAAGCUCAAGAUUUUGGUCUGUUCGACCAUUAAAUUUUUACAUGAUCUGAGUUCAGACCGGCGUGAGCCAGGUCGGUUUCUAUCUUUAUUAAGAUAAAAUGUUUUAGUACGAAAGGACCAGACAUUUAAUAUAAUUAUAUUUAUUUUUUGAAGAAUAUU
Molecule: ribosomal RNA, 612 nt
Filed under: Cicindela (Rivacindela) sp. JP-1a
Lineage: Eukaryota; Metazoa; Arthropoda; Insecta; Coleoptera; Carabidae
Description: partial 16S ribosomal RNA
Rfam family: Bacterial large subunit ribosomal RNA
Source: RNAcentral